Long non-coding RNA from Cyprinus carpio carpio, 1560 nucleotides. NCBI's taxonomy places the organism in Eukaryota, Metazoa, Chordata, Actinopteri, Cypriniformes, Cyprinidae. The record is from Ensembl.
UGUGGAAAAGGUGCAGGGGGUAAUUCCGACAUUUUGGAGGCCAGGUCGAGAAACGGAUAUGGGCUGACGGACAGGUGGUUGCUGAAAAACACCCGAGUAGCAGCGGCGACGGACGUUUUCUCCGCGCUCAGCGAGUCCGUCAGCGCGUCACCGGAGUCUGACAGGAGUUUCCAUUCUCCUCCGAGGCGUUUGCUGAUCUCAGAGUUGUGCAUCUUCGGGUUGUCCAGUGCCAUCUUCCGUCUCUGGACUCUUGACCACACCAUAAAAGCGUUCAUGGGACGUUUAACAUGGUCCAUAGGCUUUGCCAUUUCUGAAAGUUUCCUCUGCUGCUCCUUUUUCAGUUCAGUCCAAAGGAAAGCAGCCCAAAGUUCCUUUGACGCACAGUUCAGUCAGUCCUGGCUGUCUUACCUUUGUAACAUGGCACCAAAAUCUGAGUCUGCGCCUAGAAAUUUAGCCUUAAGUUUUCGACUGCUUGAAUAUUUGUCAAAUAUAAGUGACUUACAAAAAUCUGAUAUUUAUCGCUUCAAACAAGUCCCAAUAAUUUGAGUUGUUAUCCAUGGACGCACGGUGUGUACGGGAGUCUCUGAGGAAAUCUGGCUUUAAAUGUUCAUCACUGCUUAGAUUUGUACCGCCUGCGCUGAGUUUUGAAUGAAGUGGGCGUGUCCAUUCGUCCUGAGACAGAUGACGUAAGUGUGGAUUUGUCCUGUGAAAUCUACAAACACUGUGAGCACCAGAGGGACAGAUUUGCAUUUCUUUCAAUGGCAACAUUUCAAUGACAAUAUUGCAUUUUUAAAAUCUUUAACAGAUAAGUAAUUAAAUGUCAAUUCAGAUUGUUACAAAUGGCAUUAAACUUUGAAUAAUUGAAAAUGCCCACUCAUUGUUAAUUAUUACAACAAUAAUAAUAAUAAUAGUCAUCACAAUGUUAUACAAAUCCAAAUUAUCUUGUAUUUUAUUAUCAGUUCAUUUAAUGGGAUUGAUCUAUCUAUCUAUCUAUCUAUCUAUCUAUCUAUCUAUCUAUCUAUCUAUCUAUCUAUCUAUCUAUCUAUCUAAUAAAUACAUACUCAACAGAAAAGAGGUUGCCGCUUUUGUUUUGGUAACUCAGUGCUUAACCAAUAGGCUGCUACCAUUACAUUUCCCACAGUUACUGUGUCAUUAAAAGGCACCCCGACAAGUUCAGAUAACUUGUGUUCAUAACUACGUUCAUAUGUGUUUCUCUGUUACUAUGUGAUUAUAAUGCAAUCUUUUGAAUGGAUUUCAACAUUAGAGGGUUGCUGGAGAAAGGAAGUGCUUAUUAUUAAGACGAGAAAAUGGAAAUUUAACACUCUUUUGUUUCUUUUAAUGGCGUCUCGUUGUAUAAACUUUAAUCUCCAUAAUCUUUUUGUAACCAUGGAUGUACUACCAUUUGUAGACAAUUUAUAUGCUUCAGUCAAACAGGCUCACAUCCUUGUAAUAAAAAUCUGUACCCAAGCACAAAUUACAAUUGUGAUGUAAGAACAAUAUUCUGUAUUGUUUUUUCACUGGUGUUUUACCUGUAUUUUGAAUAAUGCAAUGCGCUGUGUU